This is a long non-coding RNA of Portunus trituberculatus (swimming crab), 482 nucleotides long. RefSeq lists it as uncharacterized. NCBI's taxonomy places the organism in Eukaryota, Metazoa, Arthropoda, Malacostraca, Decapoda, Portunidae. The transcript has 2 exons. The record is from RefSeq and is a predicted model, not a curated record.
GCAGCAUGUGGGACCCAACUUCACGAAGAAUCACACUCUGUGGCUGCAACCUGCAGGAGUCACUCUCCAAAGAAGCAUCAUCUGAUGGAAGUGCACACACUUCACAGCAACACAAGUCACAAUCUGAGUUAUUAGCCAGCAAUCAACCUUGAGACCCAGCUGCUGCCUGAAACUCUUGUAGCUGUGAGGGACAGCAGGCGGCCUUCACUCACCCUGAGGCUCCUUACAUACCCAUCCCGCCCGCUGCUGUACACCAGUCCACCAUGCCAGCACAACACAGCUGUUACUCCAUUCUUGCCAUGCACACCAUGAAGACUGUGCUGGGGCUUGGGCUCCUAAAAAAAUGGAAAUCUAGUUCUUAACAUAUUCAUGGUUAUACUCUCAUUAGAGAGGAAUAAGCAAUAAACCCUCUCUCUAUUUUCCUUCCUGCCUCCCUAUACAUUUAAGAUUAAACAAACUUGUAUGCAUAGUCAAUGAUUACC